GGGCGGUUAGCUCAAUUGGUUAGAGCGUCGGUCUCACAUACCGAAGGUUAGAGGUUCAAUUCCUCUACCGCCCA
This 74-nucleotide transfer RNA is filed under the name Pseudomonadota bacterium. RNAcentral's name for it is "tRNA-Val". It matches the Rfam family "tRNA". Rfam says of the family: Transfer RNA (tRNA) molecules are approximately 80 nucleotides in length. Their secondary structure includes four short double-helical elements and three loops (D, anti-codon, and T loops). RNAcentral also lists the same sequence under 1 other name. The record is from RNAcentral. Lineage: Bacteria; Pseudomonadati; Pseudomonadota.